RNAcentral lists this long non-coding RNA (3656 nucleotides) under Anas platyrhynchos platyrhynchos (common mallard). Its description in RNAcentral is "lncRNA (ENSAPLG00000017638.1)". The record is from RNAcentral. Lineage: Eukaryota; Metazoa; Chordata; Aves; Anseriformes; Anatidae.
UCUCCGUCCCGCUGCAGGAACGCUCUGCUUCUCUCCCAGAGUGCCUUUCACAAUGUGGAGCCAGCUCUCCGAGCAGGCCUGGGGGCCUGUGUGAACAUUUGGUGCUGCUUCCCUUCCCCCAAAACAUGAGCAGGACAGCUCGCUGCGCUCCUGCUGGGAGGUGGCGGCGGGGCAGGUGGUGCAGGCAGGGCACCUGCUGCUCUCAGGCCCUCGUCCAGCAGCCUGCUGUCCCUCCCGGAGCUCCCUCUGCUCCUUUAAGGCAGGCUGGGACGCCUCUGCUCACCCUUCAGCAGGGCAAUCAUUUACACAUCUAUCAAAACCGCAAGGAGUGGUUAGGCACCUUUCAACCCUGCCCUCUCUCUGCCUUCCCACCCCUCAUAUCACCUGGCCCGAAUCUCUUCUUCCCCUGCAGCAGGAUCCUUGUGUCGGAUCCCUGGUUUUCCAAGGAAGGACCGAAGCCAGGAGGGGAGGCAGCCGGCCUGUGCUGCUGAUCUGCCUCUGCGAUGUCUUUCCGAGCUGGGACUGCAAAGCAGCCUCCAAACUGGGCCACCUUUGUAGGACGGCCCCAGCGGGGGAGCACCCCGCUCUGGGCGCAGGCAGGACCCAACUGGGGACGGAUGGAGCCUGGCAGGGGACAGAAAACACCCCCAGGCUGCUGUCCCUGCUCCAGGUGCUCCUGCUCUGUGAGCCGUGUCGCUGCCCCGGGGUGGUGCGGGGCCAUCCACGAGGCUGCCUCCUCGCUGGGGCUGGGGGAAGCGAAGGGCCAGGGGGGCUUGGCCCUCGCUUGCCAUGCUUGUGGUGGGUGCUGAGCCAAGAUGGGGGAGGAAAACCGCCCCUCCAUGCCCCGUGACGUUGUCGUGUACAACAGGACCCCCCCGAUUUCCUUCCCCUGGCCUCUCCUGUCCCCAGGCACGGGUCACCUCCGCGCUCGCGGGGACAACGGGAAGCGACACUCCCCUGCCUGCCUUUCCUGAGCCAGCGCGGGGCGGAGGUCUCAGCGCACGGUCCCCUCGCCCUGCCAGGGGCAGGAGGAUAAAGCCAGGUUGCGGCUCGGCCGACGUUUGUGGUGAGAGAGGAGCUGCAGGAAAGGCUUCGUGGCUGCUGUGUGUGUGCGAGCCCUGGGAUUCGGGGCUGCAGCCCUUCUCCCCGCUCUGCCAGCCCCGCAGCCUUCCCUGCUCCUCUGCGCUCUCGCCCAGACAAAGCCAAACUGUCUGUACUUGUCUGUGGGGUCUGAUGGUGCUGGGGCUUUUUAAGCAAGCCGAGGAAGAAAUCCUCCCUUGUUCGCUCCGUCGAGGGGAUGGGAGCAGCUGCAGCAGGCAGGACGGGCCAGGAUCUGUUCACGUGAAUAAAGUAUUCCAUCCCGAUGCUCUCGUGUGCUCGCAGCCUGGCUCGGUUUGCAGCAGGCAAAGAAAGUCAGGGUCACGGUUACGAGCGUGCCACCGCGGCCCUGCUCGCUGCCUGCCUCCAUAGCAGCCUCGUGGUCGCAGCCGUGGCUCCAGACAGGAGGCUCGGGGCUCUGGGAUCAAAUCCACAACUGGGGCCAGCACAGCCCGGCCGUAGCAGUGCUGCAGGAGCAAGGAAACCCGCUGAAGGCAGCGAUAUCCACGGGGAAAGCUCCCUGGGAGGGCAGAACUUGGGCGUGGGGUGAGGAGCUGGAGGCCAGCGCGUGCCGUCACCUCGGCCAUCCCUCCUGCGGCCAGCAGCUCCCCGGGCCGGGGCCGUGCUGGUCCUCGCAGCCUUUCCCUGGGCAGGGGCAGCCCCGGCCUCCUCCCGGGCUGUCCCUGCGCCAGGCAGAGCGCGGCACCAGCCCCGGCCUCGCCACUGGCGCGCUUGGCCCCGUGCCGCGGCUCCGAGCCUGGGCUCGGCUCGGGGCUCACGUGGCGGCUGCUGAGUCAGCCCUCGCGCUGGGGACGCGGGGAGGGAUGGACGGGAACAAAACACCACGUGCCCGGGGGAGCCGCAGCCCUUGGCGCCGUGUUACGCGCAGGGUGAGCUGUUACCAAGCUGCUUGCACCGAGCCUGAGAUUUGACAAAAACAAAACAAAGGGGCUGGGAAACGCUCGCAUCUCCCCGACGCUCCCAAACUGGUCACGGUAACAGCAGGAGGGAGCUUUGCGAGGGGACGGUGAGACUGGGACACGCUCGGGGUGCCCCAAAUCCCCGUGGGGAUCCCCCCCCCUUAUGGUGCUGCAGGACAAUUUGUGUCCCAGGAGCAGCAGCCACGAUGGCUGUGAGCAUUUUGGGGGCCCGGAGCAGCCUCCCUGCAGCACGGCCAGCCGGGCAGGAGCUGGCCCUUGCACCAGCGAGCUUUAUGGCCGCAGGGGAUAUUGCAUGGGAAUGGAGCAGGGGGAUUUUGGAGCACCUAAAGAAGACCAGAGGCACCUAGCCCAGCCUGAUCCCAUGGCAGGCAGGUGUGUAAGCUCCCAGGUUGAGCAGAAAUCCUCCCCAUCCCACCGCCUGCCCCCAGACAGCUCCCUGCAGGCUCCCCGGCACCGAUGGGGCUGACACCAGUCCCCCCCAUUGGCACGCUGGUGAUUUGGGAACCCCGGGGCUCCCCGGUUCCUGCCAGCCCCAUAACGCUCCCGUUCUCUCUGCUCGCUUCCCUUCGGCUGAGCGAACGUGGAUGUUUUUGAGAUCUUGGAAGCAACCUGACCUGCUGGAAGCCAGCGGGCUGACGGCUCCCCGCUGUGCCGGGCUGGGUCUCCGCGUGCCGCUGCCUCUGUGGCCCGUCCCUGAGCCGUCCCCGAGCUGUCCCCAAGCUGUCCCCGAGCUGUCCCCACGCUGUCCCUGCCCAGGUGCCGGCUGUCCCAGCCCCUCUGCUCCCCGGGGACAGUUUGGAGGGGGCAGCUCCAGCCCAGGGCUCAUUUCUGGCUUCCUCCGCCAGCGCUCCCGAGCGUCCUGCGUUUUUCCUCGCUUGGGUCAUGUAUUCCUCGCCUCUCUUUCCUGAAGACGAGGAGUGAUUUACAGGGCUCCAGAAAACACAGCUUGGCUGCUUAGGAAGAGAAGAAAAAAAAAACAACAAAAAGCCAACACAAAACCACUCCGCUCGCUAUUUCCAUCGCCCGCCUUCCCACAAAGGGGCCGGCCCCGGUGCACGGCCCCGAGCGGAGCCCAGAGCCCCCCAGCCCACGCUCCUGCUGAAUUUCCGCGCAGCCGCUGCAUCCUCCGUGGGCCGGGCCCUGUGUUUCGGCACAGGGGGCAACCAGCGCUGCCCAGCUCCCGGCCCCGGCCGCCUGAACGGGCCCCUUGUGCUCUCGGCCCCGAACAAGGCAGCGAUUGUGUGCGCCUGCCCCAGCGCUCUGUUACGGGGUCCAUCCCGGCUCCGCAUCGCCACCGCGGGCUGCAGAGGAAUAGGAAAAUGGCUUUUCUCCCCCCCCAGGGAAAAGCUGCCAGCUCUGCCGUUUUGGUCCCCAACACCAUCCUGGGGUCUCAGCCCUGUUGGGAAGGAGCAGGGCUGGGUUUAACCUCAUGAAAAGGGCUCUGCCUCUCGUCCCCGCGGCUGAAAACCUGCCCGACGCCACGGAAAGGCACGGGGAUAAAGCCUUGUUGUGAUCCUGUUGGGUCCCGUGAUAUUACAAGCCAAGAGAAAUGCCCUCAUUAUUUCCCGAAUAUUGAAGUCUAAUAAAUCCCCUACUGCCUUAUAGGAUUUAUUUAUC